Molecule: RNA transcript, 2374 nt
Organism: Daphnia pulex (common water flea)
Lineage: Eukaryota; Metazoa; Arthropoda; Branchiopoda; Diplostraca; Daphniidae
Gene name: gastric triacylglycerol lipase-like
Exons: 14
Source: RefSeq, a predicted model, not a curated record
GUGAGAACUUACAGCGCUAAAAGUCAUCAAUCUCAGCGUGAAAAUCUCUCGUGGAUAACUCAUCGUCUUUGUAAGUACCUCCCUACUCAAUCCUUACAUAGAAUCACAAACAUUUUUAAUUAACCGAUUCAACUGCCUUAAAUAUGGUCAUUUUCUUUGAAUGAAUGAUAAGAAUUUUAGGUUUUCAAGGUCGUAAAUAGUUUGGCAUAAGCGUGACCCGAUCUAAUAUACUAACUCUGCUGCCGAAUAAAAUUAUUUGGUUCAAGAUACAGCGGCGCCAUGUUCAGAAGCGAGAAAAACUUCCAACAGAAAGCGGAAUGAUGAAGGAUAUAUAACGGUUGCCAGCACCGCCGCACAUGGAGAUUUUCCUAGUCGCCCAGCCGCUGAUGGCGUAUGUACGCAACAUUAUUUUGUAGAACUCUCACGUCGUGUCAAAACAGGUUUCUCGUCUAUAAAACGCUUAUACAAACAUGCGAGGGGCUAUAACAUUGAUCCAACUAGUCGCAAAAUUGCCAGUAGGUUUCUGGCUCUGGCUGUGAUAGUAUUUGACCUUUUUCUCAUGUUGGGUUGAUUUCGGUUGAUUUCAAUCGCAGUUUGGGUCGUAUAUGGUGAGGAUUGGGUCAGCUGUUUUACGUCAGUUGUUGGACAAGUUUCGGAAAGUGUCGUCAUGAUUUUAAGGCGGCCAAUCGAGUUCUUCUACUGUUGGCUAUCUUUUAUUGCAAUCUACCCGAGUACCUGCAGUUCCAUUGAGAAAAAUCACCGCGGUCUCAAUCAAUUUUAUUCCGCACGAUCGAUCCUCAAAAGUUGGCGGAGGAAAGCUCAGGAGCAAUCAGCCAGACUAUUCGAUCGACUACCAAAGAAUCAGGAAGUCUUCUACACACCCCCAGAAGUGAUCAGGAACCGGGGCUACCCAGUCGAGGUUCACCAUAUCACAACAGAUGAUGGGUACAUUUUGGAAAUUCACCGCAUUCCGGCCCAAUCGUCUGGCGGACCCAAGAAAGCGGUUUUCCUUCAGCACGGAGUCCUUGAGUCUUCCGGCACUUGGCUCGUCAAUCCUUCCAAGCGCUCCCUUCCAUUUUUACUGGCCGAUAAAUCGUAUGACGUGUGGAUCGGUAAUUUCCGUGGUAAUAGGUAUUCCAGGAGACACGUCACCCUCAAUCCCGAUGAAACCGAAUUUUGGAGAUUCAGUUGGGAUGAAAUCGGCAAUUACGACCUGCCGGCCGUCAUCAAUUACAUUUUGAAAACAACUGGCCAAUCGAAAUUAUCUUACAUAGGACAUUCUCUGGGAUGCGGAACGUUCUUCAUCGCCAUGGUCAAACAUCCGGAGCUCAACUCUAAAAUUGACAUCAUGGUUGCCCUGGCACCGCUUUCUUCCUUUGCUCAUUUCACUACCCCCCUUUUUCGCUUUUUAGCUCCGCUGGAUCGAAUCAUCCAGACUUACCUCCAGAUGGUAGGGACUUGGGGUUGGCUGGACAGCCAAGGCUCAGGCGAUCGCUUAUUCAAUUCCCUGUGCGGGAAGACUUACACCCUGGCCAACCGUUGCGCGGACUUGAUACGCGCAUUUUCUGGGCCGAAUCCCAGCAACAAUUUCGACCCUACUGCAGUGCCAGGGAUGAUUGCAAAUGCUUUCCACGGGACGUCGGUUCCUGUCAUCGCCCAAUUUGCGCAAAAUUUCCAAGCAGGGGAGACAUUUCAAGCUUACGAUUACGGGCCUCGAGGGAACAUUAUGCGCUACGGAUCGACCAGACCGAUGGAAUACCACCUGGAUCGAAUUACAGCUCCGAUUUACGUGUUUUCGGGAGGAAAUGACCAUAUUGUUACGCCAUUGGAUGUUGACUGGCUACUGACUCAACUCAAAAACAUGAAGGGAUCCACCCGCAUUCCAGAAUACAAUCACGGCGAUUUCAUAUGGGGGACGGAUGUCAAAGAAAAAUUGUACGAUCAAGUCAUGGCCCUUUUACCGCCACCAUAAGCUCAAGCGAAACUUUGAUUCGUCUUCUGUGCAAAAUGCUAUCCAUAAAAUAACAUGUCAGGUUUAAAUAUCAAAGAGAACUUACAGCGCGCAAACAGCCAUCAAUCUCAAGGUGAAAAUCUUCUGACGAAAAAACCUCGUUCAACAGGUUAUACUCGGUGGAUGACUCAGUCUUUUUUUGAGUUCAAGGUCGUGAAUAGUUUGGCAUAAACUUGACCCGAUCCACUCUGCUGCCAAAUAAAAUCACUGGGUUCAAGAUACAGCGGCGCCAUGUACAGAAGCGAAAAAAGGGUUUCUUCUGUUUUUAUAACAUGAGGAUGUAACGGUUCCCCCCGCCGCACAUGGAGAUUUCCUAGUCGCCCAGCCGCUGAUGGCGUAUGUACGCAACCUUUUUUUUUUUUU